UGCUUAGCUCAGUUGGUAGAGCGGCGCCCUUACAAGGCGUAGGUCGGGGGUUCGAACCCCUCAGCA
RNAcentral lists this transfer RNA (66 nucleotides) under uncultured Aquabacterium sp. It matches the Rfam family "tRNA". Rfam says of the family: Transfer RNA (tRNA) molecules are approximately 80 nucleotides in length. Their secondary structure includes four short double-helical elements and three loops (D, anti-codon, and T loops). RNAcentral also lists the same sequence under 2 other names. Lineage: Bacteria; Pseudomonadati; Pseudomonadota; Betaproteobacteria; Burkholderiales; Sphaerotilaceae. The record is from RNAcentral.